RNAcentral lists this ribosomal RNA (1068 nucleotides) under Enterococcus faecium. RNAcentral describes it as "bacterial SSU rRNA". It matches the Rfam family "Bacterial small subunit ribosomal RNA", at positions 60 to 1099 of the family's 1533-position model. The record is from RNAcentral. Lineage: Bacteria; Bacillati; Bacillota; Bacilli; Lactobacillales; Enterococcaceae.
AGUCGAACGCUUCUUUUUCCACCGGAGCUUGCUCCACCGGAAAAAGAGGAGUGGCGAACGGGUGAGUAACACGUGGGUAACCUGCCCAUCAGAAGGGGAUAACACUUGGAAACAGGUGCUAAUACCGUAUAACAAUCAAAACCGCAUGGUUUUGAUUUGAAAGGCGCUUUCGGGUGUCGCUGAUGGAUGGACCCGCGGUGCAUUAGCUAGUUGGUGAGGUAACGGCUCACCAAGGCCACGAUGCAUAGCCGACCUGAGAGGGUGAUCGGCCACAUUGGGACUGAGACACGGCCCAAACUCCUACGGGAGGCAGCAGUAGGGAAUCUUCGGCAAUGGACGAAAGUCUGACCGAGCAACGCCGCGUGAGUGAAGAAGGUUUUCGGAUCGUAAAACUCUGUUGUUAGAGAAGAACAAGGAUGAGAGUAACUGUUCAUCCCUUGACGGUAUCUAACCAGAAAGCCACGGCUAACUACGUGCCAGCAGCCGCGGUAAUACGUAGGUGGCAAGCGUUGUCCGGAUUUAUUGGGCGUAAAGCGAGCGCAGGCGGUUUCUUAAGUCUGAUGUGAAAGCCCCCGGCUCAACCGGGGAGGGUCAUUGGAAACUGGGAGACUUGAGUGCAGAAGAGGAGAGUGGAAUUCCAUGUGUAGCGGUGAAAUGCGUAGAUAUAUGGAGGAACACCAGUGGCGAAGGCGGCUCUCUGGUCUGUAACUGACGCUGAGGCUCGAAAGCGUGGGGAGCAAACAGGAUUAGAUACCCUGGUAGUCCACGCCGUAAACGAUGAGUGCUAAGUGUUGGAGGGUUUCCGCCCUUCAGUGCUGCAGCUAACGCAUUAAGCACUCCGCCUGGGGAGUACGACCGCAAGGUUGAAACUCAAAGGAAUUGACGGGGGCCCGCACAAGCGGUGGAGCAUGUGGUUUAAUUCGAAGCAACGCGAAGAACCUUACCAGGUCUUGACAUCCUUUGACCACUCUAGAGAUAGAGCUUCCCCUUCGGGGGCAAGUGACAGGUGGUGCAUGGUUGUCGUCAGCUCGUGUCGUGAGAUGUUGGGUUAAGUCCCGCAACGAGCGC